Long non-coding RNA from Parasteatoda tepidariorum (common house spider), 831 nucleotides. RefSeq lists it as uncharacterized. NCBI's taxonomy places the organism in Eukaryota, Metazoa, Arthropoda, Arachnida, Araneae, Theridiidae. The record is from RefSeq and is a predicted model, not a curated record.
AUUUUAACAUUGGUCGGAAGAAUAAAACCGAAAAUAAAACAAUUCUUUUUGUUUUAAGGAAAGAUGCUGAUCUGUAUCGCUUACCAUUAUCAUUCUUCAAUAGCUAAGGAACAGUCUAUCCCUGAAGGAUGUAGCUUGGAAAUGAACGACUAGCGCUGCACACUUAUUUUGUAAUCUUGCUGCUCACUGAUCGAAUAAUUGUAAGAGCUAUGAGGCAAGAAGCAAAACACAUUGAGAACCAGAGGUUUUUAAUUAACUCAUUCCUUCUUGCUCCCGUCAAAAUGACUGGGUGGAUUUUCAUCCUCUAUUUCUCGUGCCUGUGAUAUUUCCGGGCUCGUGUGUUCAAAAGAAAUGGGCCAAAAAGGUUAAAGCACUGUAUUUCCUAUGUCCGGAAUUAUGUUUACGACUAAUCUUUUAUUGUCAUAUCUUGAAAUUAAUGCUUCAUAUAAAGAAGUAAAUGUAUCGAAGGUAGAAGCAAAUUCUUUCACUUCGUUAGCAAGACAAGAAUUUAAAUAAUAUAGUUUCUGUGUUUCACCAAGUUGACUGUUAGAAGCAAUUAAAUCAUCAAAUUGAUUUUUAAAACUAGAAAAAUGUUCAUAUUUUCCGGAAAAUAUAGGAAGAUUAACUGGAGGAAUUUUUAAUACAGUUUCUAAGUUAUCAUUUAGUUUAUGAUUAUUCUCUGUCUUAUUAUUAGAAUCAGCACUAGAUGGCAGUGCCAGACUAUUUGUCAUGUGUUUAGAGAUUGUUUAUUUUAAACAAGAUAUCACAAUAUAUAAGCUAAAAAUUAACCCAAAAAUUAAAAAUAAGAAAAUAUAUUGUAUAUACACUUAC